UACGGAGGAUGCAAGCGUUAUCCGGAAUGAUUGGGCGUAAAGCGUCCGCAGGUGGCGAUGUAAGUCUGCUGUUAAAGAGUGAGGCUCAACCUCAUAAGAGCAGUGGAAACUACAUAGCUAGAGUGCGGUAGGGGCAGAGGGAAUUCCUGGUGUAGCGGUGAAAUGCGUAGAGAUCAGGAAGAGCACCGGUGGCGAAAGCGCUCUGCUAGGCCGCAACUGACACUGAGGGACGAAAGCUAGGGGAGCGAAUGGG
This 253-nucleotide ribosomal RNA is filed under the name uncultured bacterium. Its description in RNAcentral is "partial 16S ribosomal RNA". It matches the Rfam family "Bacterial small subunit ribosomal RNA", at positions 524 to 776 of the family's 1533-position model. The record is from RNAcentral.